RNAcentral lists this ribosomal RNA (317 nucleotides) under bacterium AG33. RNAcentral's name for it is "partial 16S ribosomal RNA". It matches the Rfam family "Bacterial small subunit ribosomal RNA", at positions 575 to 894 of the family's 1533-position model. The record is from RNAcentral.
GCGGAUCAGWAAGUUGGGGUGAAAUCCCKGKGCUCAACCUCDDDACUGCCUCUDAAACUCCUGGCUUGAGUUCGAGAGAGGUGAGUGGAAUUCCGAGUGUAGAGGUGAAAUUCGUAGAUAUUCGGAGGAACACCAGUGGCGAAGGCGGCUCACUGGCUCGAUACUGACGCUGAGGUGCGDAAGUGUGGGGAGCAAACAGGAUUAGAUACCCUGGUAGUCCACACCGUAAACGAUGAAUGCCAGURGUCGGCAAGCAURSUDGUCGGUGACACACCUAACGGAUUAAGCAUUCCGCCUGGGGAGUACGGDDGCAAGAU